Molecule: long non-coding RNA, 1007 nt
Filed under: Piliocolobus tephrosceles (Ugandan red Colobus)
Lineage: Eukaryota; Metazoa; Chordata; Mammalia; Primates; Cercopithecidae
Description: lncRNA (ENSPTEG00000034442.1)
Source: RNAcentral
AUUGAAAUUAUCUGGUUUACUUAAAAUGCAGUAAUAUGUACGUUUUUCUCCUGGGCCCCCAAACCUCAAAGACCUCAUUCUGGAAAGAACCUAGUUAACAAUAUGUGGUCUAAGUGGCCAUAACCACAAAGUGCCUAUUUGGCAGAAAACUCAUAAGCAGGUAGUCCUAUCUUGAGAAUCUAAUUCCACAUGCCUAACAGCAUACCCAAGAUCACUAUUACCUCCUACCCCUUCCAAAAUAACAACGUUCUCACCUCCCGAUCUGGAGUCUGGGUCCAAAUGAGAAAGCAUUGGCAAGCGUUUCCACGCAGGGAUAAGCACCCCCACGUCUUUCCAGCUUAGCUCUCCAAGCAGCUCUGGCAGUUAUCUCACUAGAAACCUUGGACUCAGACUCCGACCACGCCCACUCCUCCCGGUCCACCCAUGAUCCCAAAUCCCAUUGGUCACCCGCAUCAGGGUAGCCAUGCAACUCCCGCCCCCGCUCCGUAAUUGGUGAGGGUAAUUGCCGCUCCCAGUACGGCGGAGCUGGGCUCUCUCUCGGUCCACCGGCACCACCUGUUGCCCUUAAGUUAGAAAAGGCGGCGUUCUCGGAGGGAGCCAAGCAGCCGCUGCAGGUGAAGGGGAGCCUCCGGCGGUCAGGUAGCCGCCAGGCUGCCGGCUCCGUUCGGCCCGGCGCACCUGCAGCGCAGCCAGGGCGCCAAGCUGAGGCUCUCACAUCCGGGGCCCGCAGUCACCGCCAACGCGUUAACCCUUUGUCCGCAGGCCCGAGGGUGCCGGCUGUGACCGCGCGGGCCCCUAAGGUGCUAGAGAUUAGACCUGGCGCGCCCGCUAGGAAUACUUGUUUUAACAACACACUGUGAAAAUUAGAAGUUUCUGAAGGCUACAACUCUUAUGUGAUGGUCAAAAGAUUUUACAAUUUUCCUGCUCAGAUCUACUUAAUCAGAUUAUCUCAAGGUAAGGUCUUUAGAAACUAAUAGAACAAGAAGUAUCUGGAAAUCACUGAAUGA